This is a non-coding RNA of Aegilops tauschii subsp. strangulata, 3570 nucleotides long. The record is from RefSeq and is a predicted model, not a curated record. Lineage: Eukaryota; Viridiplantae; Streptophyta; Magnoliopsida; Poales; Poaceae.
CGCGCUCCUAACCUUCCGGCCGCCCCCAACCAUCUCCAACCCCGGCGCAUCCCAGCCCCGGCGCAUCCCAGCCCCAGCGCCCCCCUUCCCGGCGACCCCAACCCCGGCGCGCCUCAGCCCCGGCGCCCCCAGCCCCGGCGACCCUAGCCCCGGCGCGCCUCAGCCCCGGUGACUCCCAUCUCCGGCCUCCUCCCUCCGUCGCCGCCGCGCCUCUCGCCACCUCCCUCCGCCACCAACCCAGAUCCCUCCGAGCACCGUGCGCCAUCUCCUGCGAUUCCCGCCACCGCCUGUUUCUAGCGCGGCUCUCCGCCUCCCAGCGACGACGAGGAAGAUGACGGGGGAGCUGCCCGUCUUAACGCAUGGCGCCCCUGGUCCUUGGAUCCCCGCUCCCCUCCGGCGACCCUACUCGCUCGCCCGGCGCUCGCUCCGGUGACCAGCCGCGCGUCACACGAUAGAUCCCCAAGCUCCUUCACAUUCAGCGCCGCCGCCACGCAACCUCAUCUCCGUUUUCUCUUCAUUACGACCUGUAGCCUGUAGGAGUUUCUUCAGCUGCGGUUCAACAAGAAAACCAGCGGCAGUCCAUGCACCCGUUCUAUCUCUUUCCUCUCUAAUGUUCUUUAUCUUACUAAUUUGUUUUCUAUUGGAACUGCAGCCCGAGGGAGGUUGGACGGACAGCAUAUUGGCGAUGUUAACAUCAGUUUGUUUAUAUUGAACUGAUGAUCGUGUAUUAGUACUACUGAAGUCAAGCAAUGAGUUCAAUGGAUUCCAAAAAGGAAAAAAUUAUGGAUGGGUGAUGAAUCAACUUCCUGUACUGUUGUGCCAUUAGCAUUGGACGACCCCGACCACUGGCACCACUGCUUCCCUACCUCCUGCUUGCAUCGCCAUCUCCCGGUGGGGCUCUGCCGCCGGAGCACCCUGGCCGUUCACAGCCACCACUCUAGGCCGUUCAACGCCACCACCCCAGGCCGUUCAUUGCCAGCAGCACCCUGGAUCCCACCCCUCACCCUAGGAGUUUCAGUUAUCGACAAGUCCAUGUAGUACUACAUGCGAAGUACAAAAAUUACUGCUAAUGAGAGUUCAUUUAAAUCCUGGAAGUUCAACGCUGCAACUACAGGCCGUUCAAUCUCUCCGUCGUGGACACGCCCCUCCACCUCCUUCUGGUUGCUAGUCAUCCCGGUGUGGCCAGGCCGCUGGGUUCGCCGCUGCUGCGAUCAGCAGUCCAACCCGGCCGCCCCAGGCCGUUCACCGUCGCAGCUCCCUGGCCGACUGUGUCAAGCCACCUUCCGCCUGCACCUUGGGCUCCCGUAUGCGUCCCCUACCCCAGCAGGUGCACACGUCCCGGCCCACCGUUCCCUGUGUUAUUCUUUUGACCUUGAACUAUAUAGGAUACAACUUUUAUUUGAUUUUCAGUUCACCUUUUCCGUUCUUUUCAGUUCAUAAACUUUAAUGUAUUGAUGAAAUCCUGAAAUAUCAUAUGUGCACUCUACGUAAUUGUUUUUAUGCCUACGAACAAUUCUUCACUUGUGCUGUUAUGCAUCAGUUUUGGUCACCAAAAAAAUGGAGGUUUAGAUAUGACAAAAUGGAUUAGAGCGCCAUGUCCUCACCCAGAAGAAAAUAUGGUGGCCUUCAGCAAGUAAUCUUUCUCUAACGGGCAUCCUAUGCCUGCGCCACCGAGAGCCUGAUCCUACUUGCUGUGUGCUCACGGCAACCACAAGCAUCGUAAGAAAAAGGCUCGUUGAGCUGCACUUGUUUGUACUGUCGCUCUUCCUCUGCUCCUCAAGCGCCACUGCUGUCUCGUGCUGACCUCGACGCACCGACCGUCCUCCAGGCUGCUGCUGGUUCGUGCUACAUAAACAAACAGAGUUAAAGAACAUAGAUGAGAGGAAUUCAGUUCAGGAAGAUUAAAGGGUUAACCUCCUGGGAUACACGAAGUUUCAGUUCGUCGAGAGGCUUCCUGGAGCUUCAAAACAUUUCACUUCACCUUUUUAGGCUUUUUCAGUACAUCUUACAAAGUGUGUUUCCUUUCAUCAUUUUUAUCUACUUAAAAGAAGUGUAGAAACUUGAGGAAAUACCCCCAAAAUCAUGUGUGCGCUCAGCACUCUUCUACGUGCUUGUUCUAAUGCUUAUGAGAAUUAUUCUUCAAGGUCAUAAUUUGGAACUAGAUAACUUUUCAUAGAUGAUUGUACUGAAGCUAGGUGUUUAACAGAAUUAUUUCUCAUAAGUUCGCAAAUCACCUAUUGGUUUGGGUUACAUCUCAUCCACAUCUUCACGAAAAAAGUUGGAACUUGCAUCUAUAUUUAUGUUCCGGUUACCUUCGGUUAAUUGUACUGAAUUUGGCUAAUUGUAGCUUAUUAGUACUAAACUUUUGUGCAUGUGCUACCUUUUGUAAAGUUCAUCUUGUCUAGUAUAUAUUACUGCUGUCGUUGAUUGCAGAUUUUGUUUUUGGGAAUUCCACCGUUGAUCCCAAGCUCCACGGGCAUUUCAUGCAUUCGCUGGUCUGUGUGUGCAAUUAUUCUAUUAUGGAGAUGUCAGUUCAUUACAGCGCUACUCCGGCUUUUUUCUCCUACAACAAGACUUGCGUAUGGCUACAGGUUCAUAUCAAGGAAGUUUAGAAAAAUUGCAGCGCCUUUCAGUUCAUUGUAUGAAAAAAGCAAAGUUCAUCUUGUCUAGUAGAGGUUGCUGCUGGUGUCCGUUCAUUGUCGAUUUCGUUUUGGGAAAUUUCCAAAACUUACUGCUGAGAACGGAUGCAGUUUGAUCUUGCGCAAGUUGGAAAUUCCCUGAUGCUGAGUGUGUCAGUACAACCCUACGUCACACAGGGAACAGUGUGUGUACAUUUUUGGAUUUAAUUUUGGAAGGUUCGCACAUCCAUAUUAGAGAGAUUCAUCGGACAUAAUUUUGUAAGUUCAGAAAAAGCAAUUGCUCAGUACAUCACAGCAGCUCUUCAAUGCAAAAAGGAUGGCUCUUCUCAAGUCAGCAGCUAACUGAACUGGCAACUUCAGGGUAGCUCAGUCAAAUAUGGCAGCUGUGCAGUAAACAACUUCAGUUGAGAAAUCAGCAAGCGCCAUGCUCAGUCCAACCCCGUGGCUUCAGGGUGGCCGAGUUCGUCGCGACCAUCAGUUUGGAGACCUGCGUCACUGCCCGUGUCGCUACCAUGGCCACCUGCAUCACUGCGUGCUCCGUCAACAGCCUCCUGCACAAGGAAAAGCAACCGGAGUAGAGGCUUUUGAGAUGCUCUGUUCUAGCGAGGUGGCUGAUUAUGUUUGUCAGUUUGUAAUAUACUUUGGCCGCAGUUUACUUAUGUAUCUUUUUCUGGCCGGAGCACGACCAGAGCUUAUGUCAGUAUGAACUUUGAUUGUGAUGGUACUACAAACUCUAUAAUUACUUACCUUUUAUACAAUCCACUUGGAUUGUGCCCCUAUUACCAACUGUGGUACAAAAAUGCACUGUGCUCACCAUUUUAUUUUAGUUCAUCAGUUUGUAAUACUUUAAAGAGAGGAGGUAAAAGUGAACCAUUUGGUUUUGUAUUAUAAAAAGUGUUAAUGUGAGAAACUUCAAAAACAUCUUGUUUAA